This 408-nucleotide ribosomal RNA is filed under the name uncultured bacterium. Its description in RNAcentral is "bacterial SSU rRNA". It matches the Rfam family "Bacterial small subunit ribosomal RNA", at positions 28 to 412 of the family's 1533-position model. The record is from RNAcentral.
GACGAACGCUGGCGGCGUGCUUAACACAUGCAAGUCGAACGAGAAGAGAUGAGAAACUUGCUUCUUAUUGAUUCGAGUGGCAAACGGGUGAGUAACGCGUAAGCAACCUGCCCUUCAGAUGGGGACAACAGCUGGAAACGGCUGCUAAUACCGAAUACGUUCUUUUUGUCGCAUGGCAGAGGGAAGAAAGGGAGGCUCUUCGGAGCUUUCGCUGAAGGAGGGGCUUGCGUCUGAUUAGCUAGUUGGAGGGGUAACGGCCCACCAAGGCGACGAUCAGUAGCCGGUCUGAGAGGAUGAACGGCCACGUUGGGACUGAGACACGGCCCAGACUCCUACGGGAGGCAGCAGUGGGGAAUAGUUGGGCAAGUGGGCGCAAGCCUGACCCAGCAACGCCGCGUGAAGGAAGAA